This is a non-coding RNA of Salmo salar (Atlantic salmon), 54 nucleotides long. NCBI's taxonomy places the organism in Eukaryota, Metazoa, Chordata, Actinopteri, Salmoniformes, Salmonidae. The record is from Rfam.
UGAAGCACUAACUGUAAGUCUCUCUGGAUAAGAGAGUCUGCAAAAUGACUAACA